This 646-nucleotide ribosomal RNA is filed under the name Oenococcus oeni. Its description in RNAcentral is "bacterial SSU rRNA". It matches the Rfam family "Bacterial small subunit ribosomal RNA", at positions 54 to 667 of the family's 1533-position model. Lineage: Bacteria; Bacillati; Bacillota; Bacilli; Lactobacillales; Lactobacillaceae. The record is from RNAcentral.
CAUGCAAGUCGUACGCUAGCCGCUGAAUUGAUCCUUCGGGUGAAGUGAGGCAAUGACUAGAGUGGCGAACUGGUGAGUAACACGUAAGAAACCUGCCCUUUAGUGGGGGAUAACAUUUGGAAACAGAUGCUAAUACCGCGUAACAACAAAUCACACAUGUGAUCUGUUUGAAAGGUCCUUUUGGAUCGCUAGAGGAUGGUCUUGCGGCGUAUUAGCUUGUUGGUAGGGUAGAAGCCUACCAAGGCAAUGAUGCGUAGCCGAGUUGAGAGACUGGCCGGCCACAUUGGGACUGAGACACUGCCCAAACUCCUACGGGAGGCUGCAGUAGGGAAUUUUCCGCAAUGCACGAAAGUGUGACGGAGCGACGCCGCGUGUGUGAUGAAGGCUUUCGGGUCGUAAAGCACUGUUGUAAGGGAAGAAUAACUGAAUUCAGAGAAAGUUUUCAGCUUGACGGUACCUUACCAGAAAGGGAUGGCUAAAUACGUGCCAGCAGCCGCGGUAAUACGUAUGUCCCGAGCGUUAUCCGGAUUUAUUGGGCGUAAAGCGAGCGCAGACGGUUUAUUAAGUCUGAUGUGAAAUCCCGAGGCCCAACCUCGGAACUGCAUUGGAAACUGAUUUACUUGAGUGCGAUAGAGGCAAGUGGAAC